Molecule: long non-coding RNA, 825 nt
Filed under: Ailuropoda melanoleuca (giant panda)
Lineage: Eukaryota; Metazoa; Chordata; Mammalia; Carnivora; Ursidae
Description: lncRNA (ENSAMEG00000031398.1)
Source: RNAcentral
GUCGUGGCGGCUGGUGGACAAGGGGAGCUGGAGAGGGGUUCGCCCAGGACCUAGGGCAGUUGGGCUGUAGCUGGCAGCCGUGGGUAAGUGAGGACAGCGGUCUGUCGGCCAGGUGAGUCCCCUCCCCUCCCUGGGCCUUGCUUUGCUGGCCUUCUGCAAGGAAGAGGUUCCAGGGAGCAAGGAGCAGCGAGGAGAAGCGGCUGACCUCCCGGCAGAGCGGCAGGACAAAGGAGGGCGGUCAGGACAGGUGACAUCGUCUCAGGGGGAGCUGAGACUGUGUAGGCUGGGGGGCCGUGUGCCCUUCCCAAGUGGAAUGAGCGUUUCAAGAGAGCGGGCGGGACAUGAGGCAGGGCUGCCAGUGAGGGAGGUGACAGGUGGCUGAGGGGAUCCAGCUUGUGGGGGACCCCAGGCCCGGGUCGGACAGGAGGAGGUGGGGACUCAGGAGGCUGUAGGGUCCCCAGCCGUCACUACAUCUCACCCACCGAAAUUCAUUUAGUAGAAGGUACAGGAGCGGCUCCAGCACGGGCCUCCCAAGGCCCGUGUCGGAGCCUCGAGGGCUGGAGAGUGGGAAAGAAGGAGCAGUGCGCGGGGCGACCCGCAGCAGGACGUCACCCGGAGGGCGCGGCGGCCACAGCCAGGUCUCCAGGACGGGUGACGUGCCUGCCAGCUGCCGAAGGCCGGGCGCGAGGCUGCGCUCAGAGGGCUACGACAUGGUCUGGUGUGACGGUGAGGAUGGGCGUGACGCCGUCCGGCCUUCCCGAACAUUCUAGGCUGGCACCGCGAGGGGUCAGAACACCUACAGGUCUUGUUGCUUUGCGUUCCUGA